AAACUACAAAGGAAUUGACGGGACCGCACAAGCGGUGGAUGAUGUGGUUUAAUUCGAUGCAACGACGAAAACCUUACCCACCUUUGACAUGGCAGGAAUCCCGAAGAGAUUUGGAGUGCUCGAAAGAGAACCUGCACACAGGUGCUGCAUGGCUGUCGUCAGCUCGUGUCGUGAGAUGUUGGGUUAAGUCCCGCAACGAGCGCAACCCUUGCCAUUAGUUGCUACGAAAGGGCACUCUAAUGGGACUGCCGGUGACAAACCGGAGGAAGGUGGGGAUGACGUCAAGUCCUCAUGGCCCUUAUAGGUGGGGCUACACACGUCAUACAAUGGCCGGUACAGAGGGUAGCCAACCCGCGAGGGGGAGCCAAUCCCACAAAGCCGGUCGUAGUCCGGAUCGCAGUCUGCAACUCGACUGCGUGAAGUCGGAAUCGCUAGUAAUCGCGGAUCAGCAUGUCGCGGUGAAUACGUUCCCGGGUCUU
This 479-nucleotide ribosomal RNA is filed under the name uncultured Allobrachymonas sp. RNAcentral's name for it is "bacterial SSU rRNA". It matches the Rfam family "Bacterial small subunit ribosomal RNA", at positions 896 to 1382 of the family's 1533-position model. Lineage: Bacteria; Pseudomonadati; Pseudomonadota; Betaproteobacteria; Burkholderiales; Comamonadaceae. The record is from RNAcentral.